RNAcentral lists this ribosomal RNA (164 nucleotides) under uncultured bacterium. RNAcentral describes it as "partial 16S ribosomal RNA". It matches the Rfam family "Bacterial small subunit ribosomal RNA", at positions 355 to 511 of the family's 1533-position model. The record is from RNAcentral.
UAGGGAAUCCUCCACAAUGGACGAAAGUCUGAUGGAGCAACGCCGCGUGAGUGAAGAAGGGUUUCGGCUCGUAAAACUCUGUUGUUAAAGAAGAACAUAUCUGAGAGUAACUGUUCAGGUAUUGACGGUAUUUAACCAGAAAGCCACGGCUAACUACGUGCCAA